RNAcentral lists this ribosomal RNA (523 nucleotides) under Salmonella enterica. Its description in RNAcentral is "partial 23S ribosomal RNA". It matches the Rfam family "Bacterial large subunit ribosomal RNA", at positions 690 to 1211 of the family's 2925-position model. The record is from RNAcentral. Lineage: Bacteria; Pseudomonadati; Pseudomonadota; Gammaproteobacteria; Enterobacterales; Enterobacteriaceae. RNAcentral also lists the same sequence under 13 other names.
GGGCGUUAAGUUGCAGGGUAUAGACCCGAAACCCGGUGAUCUAGCCAUGGGCAGGUUGAAGGUUGGGUAACACUAACUGGAGGACCGAACCGACUAAUGUUGAAAAAUUAGCGGAUGACCUGUGGCUGGGGGUGAAAGGCCAAUCAAACCGGGAGAUAGCUGGUUCUCCCCGAAAGCUAUUUAGGUAGCGCCUCGUGAACUCAUCUCCGGGGGUAGAGCACUGUUUCGGCUAGGGGGCCAUCCCGGCUUACCAACCCGAUGCAAACUGCGAAUACCGGAGAAUGUUAUCACGGGAGACACACGGCGGGUGCUAACGUCCGUCGUGAAGAGGGAAACAACCCAGACCGCCAGCUAAGGUCCCAAAGUCAUGGUUAAGUGGGAAACGAUGUGGGAAGGCCCAGACAGCCAGGAUGUUGGCUUAGAAGCAGCCAUCAUUUAAAGAAAGCGUAAUAGCUCACUGGUCGAGUCGGCCUGCGCGGAAGAUGUAACGGGGCUAAACCAUGCACCGAAGCUGCGGCAGCGA